This 253-nucleotide ribosomal RNA is filed under the name uncultured bacterium. Its description in RNAcentral is "partial 16S ribosomal RNA". It matches the Rfam family "Bacterial small subunit ribosomal RNA", at positions 524 to 776 of the family's 1533-position model. The record is from RNAcentral.
GACAGAGGGUGCAAACGUUGUUCGGAAUUACUGGGCGUAAAGCGUGUGUAGGCGGCUAUGUAAGUCGGAUGUGAAAGCCCCGGGCUCAACCCGGGAAGUGCACUCGAUACUGCGUAGCUUGAGUAUCGGAGAGGUUGGUGGAAUUCUCGGUGUAGAGGUGAAAUUCGUAGAUAUCGAGAGGAACACCGGUGGCGAAGGCGGCCAACUGGACGAAUACUGACGCUGAGACACGAAAGCGUGGGGAGCAAACAGG